This 344-nucleotide unclassified non-coding RNA is filed under the name Hevea brasiliensis (rubber tree). Lineage: Eukaryota; Viridiplantae; Streptophyta; Magnoliopsida; Malpighiales; Euphorbiaceae. The record is from RNAcentral.
AUCUCAACUAUUAAAUAGCUGCAAAUCCACAACACAAAUGCAAGCAUUCAAGAAAACUCAAUUCGUAUUUCAAUUGCAAAUGGUCUAACAAAGAAAAAUAAAUUAAAAAAAUUGCAUAGAGCGACCAUUGUUGAUGAAUCUGUGGCAUACAUCAAAUCUUUAAUUUUCCUCUAAAAUAGAAACCCAAACAAUUUAGACGAAUAUAUUAGCAAACAGAACAAAGAAAGAAACGAUAGAAACAUAUAACUAUGGGUGGAGGAAAGGAGUACCAACUUCUUGAGAUUUUGGGAAAUGUCUUCGUGGAAAACCAGAAAUGAAGAAGAAAAGGAAGGGAAGGAGAGAAA